This 473-nucleotide ribosomal RNA is filed under the name Escherichia coli. RNAcentral describes it as "bacterial SSU rRNA". It matches the Rfam family "Bacterial small subunit ribosomal RNA", at positions 1 to 470 of the family's 1533-position model. Lineage: Bacteria; Pseudomonadati; Pseudomonadota; Gammaproteobacteria; Enterobacterales; Enterobacteriaceae. The record is from RNAcentral.
AAAUUGAAGAGUUUGAUCAUGGCUCAGAUUGAACGCUGGCGGCAGGCCUAACACAUGCAAGUCGAACGGUAACAGGAAACAGCUUGCUGUUUCGCUGACGAGUGGCGGACGGGUGAGUAAUGUCUGGGAAACUGCCUGAUGGAGGGGGAUAACUACUGGAAACGGUAGCUAAUACCGCAUAACGUCGCAAGACCAAAGAGGGGGACCUUCGGGCCUCUUGCCAUCGGAUGUGCCCAGAUGGGAUUAGCUUGUUGGUGGGGUAACGGCUCACCAAGGCGACGAUCCCUAGCUGGUCUGAGAGGAUGACCAGCCACACUGGAACUGAGACACGGUCCAGACUCCUACGGGAGGCAGCAGUGGGGAAUAUUGCACAAUGGGCGCAAGCCUGAUGCAGCCAUGCCGCGUGUAUGAAGAAGGCCUUCGGGUUGUAAAGUACUUUCAGCGGGGAGGAAGGGAGUAAAGUUAAUACCUUU